UCGGAGAGUUUGAUCCUGGCUCAGGACGAACGCUGGCGGCGUGCCUAAUACAUGCAAGUCGAGCGGACUGAUGGGAGCUUGCUCCCUGAUGUCAGCGGCGGACGGGUGAGUAACACGUGGGUAACCUACCUGUAAGAUUGGGAUAACUCCGGGAAACCGGGGCUAAUACCGGAUAGUUCUUUUCCUCGCAUGAGGAAAAGUGGAAAGGUGGCUUUUAGCUACCACUUACAGAUGGACCCGCGGCGCAUUAGCUAGUUGGUGAGGUAACGGCUCACCAAGGCAACGAUGCGUAGCCGACCU
RNAcentral lists this ribosomal RNA (300 nucleotides) under Bacillus sp. SG-1. Its description in RNAcentral is "partial 16S ribosomal RNA". It matches the Rfam family "Bacterial small subunit ribosomal RNA", at positions 1 to 293 of the family's 1533-position model. Lineage: Bacteria; Bacillati; Bacillota; Bacilli; Caryophanales; Bacillaceae. The record is from RNAcentral.